AACGACUCUCGGCAACGGAUAUCUCGGCUCACGCAUCGAUGAAGAACGUAGCAAAAUGCGAUACUUGGUGUGAAUUGCAGAAUCCCGUGAACCAUCGAGUUUUUGAACGCAAGUUGCGCCCAAAGCCAUCCGGCUGAGGGCAUGCCUGCCUGGGCGUCACGCA
Molecule: ribosomal RNA, 163 nt
Filed under: Faberia nanchuanensis
Lineage: Eukaryota; Viridiplantae; Streptophyta; Magnoliopsida; Asterales; Asteraceae
Description: 5.8S ribosomal RNA
Rfam family: 5.8S ribosomal RNA
About the family: 5.8S ribosomal RNA (5.8S rRNA) is a component of the large subunit of the eukaryotic ribosome. It is transcribed by RNA polymerase I as part of the 45S precursor that also contains 18S and 28S rRNA. Functionally, it is thought that 5.8S rRNA may be involved in ribosome translocation.
Source: RNAcentral